This 206-nucleotide long non-coding RNA is filed under the name Zostera marina. RNAcentral's name for it is "long non-coding RNA (ZMAR_LNC005461)". The record is from RNAcentral. Lineage: Eukaryota; Viridiplantae; Streptophyta; Magnoliopsida; Alismatales; Zosteraceae.
UCGUCGCCUGGGGGAAUGUCUCCUUGAUUUCCUCGGAGGAGAGGAGUCGGUCCUAGGAGGUGGAGUUCGUUUCUUGCUUCUUCUCCCCUCAGACCCCUCAAGCUGGGUCUCCUUCCCAGCAGUCCUCUCUCGUUCCUCUUCUGGAGUGCGGAAGAAGGAAGAGAGCCUGGCAGCAGCAGGAGACUGCACAGGAGUAGUUUCCACAG